UCCGGCUUAUCACCGGCGGUUUCUUUAGAGUGCCCAACUAAAUGAUGGCAACUAAAGACGAGGGUUGCGCUCGUUGCGGGACUUAACCCAACAUCUCACGGCACGAGCUGACGACAGCCAUGCAGCACCUGUGCUGGCUCCCCGAAGGGUCCCUCACCUUUCGGAUCGGUACCACGUGCAUGUCAAGCCUGGGUAAGGUUCUUCGCGUUGCAUCGAAUUAAACCACACGCUCCGCUGCUUGUGCGGGCCCCCGUCAAUUCCUUUGAGUUUUAGCCUUGCGGCCGUAGUCCCCAGGCGGGGCACUUAUUGCGUUAGCUGCGGCACCGGGGGGGGUCGAUACCCCCGACACCUAGUGCCCAUCGUUUACGGCGUGGACUAC
RNAcentral lists this unclassified non-coding RNA (379 nucleotides) under uncultured bacterium. RNAcentral describes it as "contains 16S-23S intergenic spacer region". The record is from RNAcentral.